UGGAAGAAUCAUUUGUUUUUGUUCACUUUGUUAUUUGCUUUGUUUAUUGAUAGAAUGAAAGAUAUCUAAGCUAUAUUUUCAAAUUAGUUGCAUUUCAGUUUAAAUAGAUAUAGACUAUAAGAUGCACCCAAAAAAUGGAUGCCUGUCCAAAGGAUGGUUGUAUUUUAUUUUGAAAAAGUUAGAUUUAAACUUUGAAUGACCACCAACAAUCCAUUGCAACUUUAACCUUGACUACCUGUGACCUUUGUUUACAUGUGUAAUCAUGAAGUGUCCUUUGGCUCUUGGAGUCUGUACGAAUAAAGAACAGAUCUCUAUAGUAAUAAAAUUUGAAAAGGCUGACAUUUUUUGGUAUACUAAAAAACGUGGAUGGUAGCAUAGGAUAUUUGCAGUAGAAGUUGCCAACAGCUAUUUUGGAAUGGAAAACAAGUGCUAAAUGGACUGACAGUUAUUUUUUAGGUUCAAAGCAAGAUGUAUAUAGAAUUAUUAUGUGUACAAAAGUGCUUGCUUCUCUAUAUUAUCAAGACGCAUUACU
RNAcentral lists this long non-coding RNA (532 nucleotides) under Mytilus galloprovincialis (Mediterranean mussel). Lineage: Eukaryota; Metazoa; Mollusca; Bivalvia; Mytilida; Mytilidae. The record is from RNAcentral.